GUGAAGAAAAAUUUGGAAUGUCUUAUACUAUUCAAUAACAGAAUAUACAGUUGGCUCAAUAAAAAAUAUGUAUGCGUUCUCGUGCUGUGACUUGUGUGGUGUAUCAUUUGAGAUUUGAUUCCAUACUUCUUAACUCCCCUCAAGCUGGGGACUGGUGAAUUUCAACCAGUCCAAGCUUGGACAACAUGAAAUGAAAACUAGAGGCAGUUGGUACUUUAGUAAAAAUAUCAGCAAGUUGAAGGCAUGAUGGCAAAUGGGUUGUCUUGAGAAAACCAGCGAGAAUGUGAUUGCGAACGACAUGACAAUCAAUAGUGUGUUCAUGAAAAAUUGGAUUGUUAUUGCAAUGGAGAGGGAUUGGUGUUUAAACAGGAAUGUUAAAAUCUUGAAGGAGGAAUGAAAUUCAUUUCAAUGGAGCGACUAGCUGUAGCUUGCCUUUUAGCCUUCCAAGAGAUAAGAGAGGGGCCAAGAAAUAUGCAAAACCCAGUAAUGGACCGUUGACUAGUUGGACAGGUAGCCCAAUCAGCAUCACAGUAUGCUUGCAGCUGAAAGGAAGAUGAUGUUGGAAAACAAUGCCUUUGGAGGAACAACCACGUAAGUAUUUCAUGAGGUGUAUGAGAGUGUGCCAAAGGCAGACACGAGGCUGUUGUAAGUGAGCUGUUGGACAACAAAGGUGAUAUCAGGUCUGGUCAUGUUCAGAUAAAUUAUUUAAAUCUAGAAAAAUCAAAUUUUAGACUAAUAAAAUAGAUUUUUAAGUCCUCUACUAAAAAUAUUGAUGGGAUCAUUUUUAUUAUAAUAUUUAGAGAUUAAGCAUAUAGUGAUGACAAAUUGCUACUAAAAUUCAUGUAAAUAACUCAAACAUUUAUAUAUAAUAAACAAUGAUUUAUUAAAAAUAUGCAAGAAAAACACUUCAUGCUAUUGGAUUUUAUGUUUUCGGAUCCAUAAAAUAGAGUUUACAAUAAUCGUGUGAGUUUAGACGAAGAGAAAGAAGUUUAUCUCUUUUAUUCCUCUUCCUUUUGUCAAUUAGGGAUAUUUAAUUAGACCGAAUUACUUUUCAUUAAAUCCGGGUCUACGAUAGGUCCGGCCUGCUCUGCCGUGUCUGGAUCGAGGCUCAAGAGUCGAUUUGCUUAAGGCUUGAUGGGUUUUGAGACAGUGUUCUUUUCUUAGACCCGAUCUCAAGUAGAGGAAGUCUGGCAUUAUCAGGAUCAAAUUACAAAAGCCGCAAUGUAUUAUGAAAAUUGAAUUCUAUGUACAACAAAGAAAAAUACUAUUUUGUUAUAAAAUUAUUUUGCAUCACAACAGAGGGUAAAUCCAUAAUCUCACAAAAGUUCUGUUCUUUGGAUUUUAAUCUUGGUUUCUCCGGGAGAGAAUACUGAUCUCAGAGCACAGCUGGAUUCUCCAUGUCAGAAUCCAUAAACACAACAAGAAUUAAAAGAUAGUGUCAACAAAUACGGAGGCAUCUUCUCAAGAAGAAUAGUACUGUUCAAUGGGGUCAAUGUCAAGUCCCUUGAGUCUCACCACCGAUUCCACAUGCCCCUUUAACCUGGUAGCCCAAAAGAUCAUAGCAUUCAGUUAACAAGCAACACAAACUAUUGAUUGGACAAAUAUCUGUAAUAAGCUUCAGUUGCAUCAUUACCUUGCUAUUUCUGCACGCCUCUUUGCCUCCUCAGCCAUCUCAGACAAUUCCCAGUAAGAAUUCUUAUCCUGGAAGAGUAAUGGAGUUUCAGAAGAAGGGGACGAGUAAUUAGGAGAUUGCAGUCCUUGCUGGGAAGUUUGAGCAGUUUCUAAGCGCUCAAGGGCUGAUUUUGGAGGAGGAUUCCUUGGAAAUCUAUAACAUAAUAUACCAAAUGCAAAGAUUAUUGGCCAAGCAGAGAUUUUGAUAGGACUAUUAUUGCCUAAUCAACUAUUUCUUUAGUCCUUAAGCAUAAUCUAUAUAAAAUUGCAGCCUCUCAAACAGAAUAGUACUGUUCAUCAGAGUCAAUCUCAAGCUCCCUGAGUUCUGCCACUGAUUCAACUUGCCCCUUUAUUGUAUGAAGCUCCUUUAACCUCGCUAAUUCCUCACGCUUCUUCCUCUUCGCCUUCUUAAUUUUCUCGGAAUAUUUCCCGUCUUUCUUCUUAUCUCCAUAGUAUAAUGAAGUUUCAGAAUCUUGCAGCUCACGGAGGUUUCUCUGAGCAGGAUUCUCCCGGUGAAUUUCCGACCGAUGAUUCCUUGGAAAUCUAGUAAGCAAUACACCAAAAGCAAAGAUCAAUGGCCAAACAGAGAUUUUGAUAGGAUUAUCAGAUUUAUGAGACAGAAACUCAUAAGCAACUGCUGCUGAAACACAUUGGAAGAUGCUACAAACUAAUCCGACAACAUCGGCAAAUGUCCCCAGAGGCUUGAAACUGGGACCUUGGGAAUAAAACCAAGGUAUGAUCUUGUCUCUUUUCAUCCAUUUGACUCUUUGUCUUCGACCCAUUCGGACAAAAUCAAGAACUGAGAUGAGCAUGAUUAUGAGAGACAUGAUCAUGCUGAUCAGUGCAUAGCGAGGUUUGUGAACUGAAGAGAGCUGAUCGAGCACCGCCGAUGGAAGCUCCACCACAAGAUUUGUGAUCAAUAAAAUCCGUUCAAGGUUCGUGUCUUGAUGAUCGGAAAGUGUGGUUGACAUUUUCUCCGUCUCUCUCGUUUCUUCUGUGUAUGGUUGAAUUUGCUCCUUCAAUAAUUGGCGUGUGACUAAAAUUAAUGAACCAUAUGAUUGUGUUUUGGACAUAUAUGAUCGGCCGAGUUUUUAAGUAAAAUUUUUCUAAAAAAUUAUACUUAUAUACGAAAAUUUAUUGCAUAAUCCUAAAAUAUUAUUUCAUCAAAUUAAGAUGGUACACUCAAUUAAUACUAUCAUAAAAGAAAUUCAUUUUGUAAUUUUAAAUCAAUAUUAAAAAAAAUAAUUUUUAUUAACUUUAUAUUUAUACCCAUAUUAAAAAUAUUAAAUUUUAUUAAAUAUUAAAAGAUUUUUUGAAAAUAAAAUAAAAUUAAAAGUCUAUUUUAUUUUUCACACUUAUUAAAAAAGAUAUUUUUUAUUAAUUUUAUAAUUAUAUUCAUAUUAAAAAUAUUAAAUUUUAUUAAAUAUUAAGAAAUAUUUUAAGAGAUUUCUUGAAAAUAAAGAAUAUGAAUGCGUUCUCGUGCCGUAACUUGUGUGGUGUAUCGAUCAUUUGAGAUUUGAUUCCAUACUUCUUAACUCCCCUCAAGCUGGGGACCGGUGAAUUUCAACCAGUCCAAGCUUGGACAACAUGAAAUGAAAACUAGAGGCGGUUGAUGCUUUAGUAAAGAUAUCGGCAAGUUGAAGGCAUGAUGGCAAAUGGGUUGUUUUGAGAAAACCAGCAAGAAUGUGAUCGCAAACGAUAUGACAAUCAAUGUCAAUGUGCUUAGUGCAUUCAUAAAAAAUUGAAUUGUUACUGAUAUGAUAGCUGCUAGGUUAUCGCAAUGGAGAGGGAUGGUGUUUGAACAGGAAUGUUAAAAUCUUGAAGGAGGAAUGAAAUCCAUUUCAAUUCACAAGAGGUACUCGCCAUACUCAUGUACUCUGCUUCAGCAGAGGAGCGACUAGCUGUAGCUUGCCUUUUAGCCUUCCAAGAGAUAAGAGAGGGGCCAAGAAAUAUGCAGAACCCAGUAAUGGACCGUCGACUAGUUGGACAGUCAGCCCAAUCAGCAUCACAGUAUGCUUGCAGCUGAAAGGAAGAUGAUGUUGGAAAAAAAAUGCCUUUGGAGGAACAACCACGUAAGUAUUUCAUGAGGUGUAUGAGAGCGUGCCAAUGGCAGACACGAGGCUGUUGUAAGUGUUGAUUGAGCUGUUGGACAACAAAGGUGAUAUCAGAUCUGGUCAUAUUCAGAUAAAUUAACUUGCCUACUGCUCAAUGAUAUUACCUAGGAUUGGGAAGCAAGUCACUCAUGUUGUCAUCAAGGCAAGCACUCUUAUUUGUAGGAACAGUGGUAGGUUUUGCGGCAGAGAGGCCCGUGUCAUGAAGCAUAUCUAAAAUAUAUUUGUGUUGUCUGAG
Molecule: long non-coding RNA, 4020 nt
Filed under: Manihot esculenta (cassava)
Lineage: Eukaryota; Viridiplantae; Streptophyta; Magnoliopsida; Malpighiales; Euphorbiaceae
Description: long non-coding RNA (MESC_LNC003771)
Source: RNAcentral